UUCAGAGGUCUCAAGCGUUGUUCGGAUUCAUUGGGCGUAAAGGGUGCGUAGGUGGCGCCGUAAGUCGGGUGUGAAAUUUCGGAGCUUAACUCCGAAACUGCAUUCGAUACUGCGGUGCUUGAGGACUGGAGAGGAGACUGGAAUUUAUGGUGUAGCAGUGAAAUGCGUAGAGAUCAUAAGGAAGACCAGUGGCGAAGGCGGGUCUCUGGACAGUUCCUGACACUGAGGCACGAAGGCCAGGGGAGCAAACGGG
RNAcentral lists this ribosomal RNA (253 nucleotides) under uncultured bacterium. RNAcentral's name for it is "partial 16S ribosomal RNA". It matches the Rfam family "Bacterial small subunit ribosomal RNA", at positions 524 to 776 of the family's 1533-position model. The record is from RNAcentral.